GACGAACGCUGGCGGCGUGCUUAACACAUGCAAGUCGAACGGAAAGGCCCUGCUUUUGUGGGGUGCUCGAGUGGCGAACGGGUGAGUAACACGUGAGUAACCUGCCCUUGACUUUGGGAUAACUUCAGGAAACUGGGGCUAAUACCGGAUAGGAGCUCCUGCUGCAUGGUGGGGGUUGGAAAGUUUCGGCGGUUGGGGAUGGACUCGCGGCUUAUCAGCUUGUUGGUGGGGUAGUGGCUUACCAAGGCUUUGACGGGUAGCCGGCCUGAGAGGGUGACCGGCCACAUUGGGACUGAGAUACGGCCGAGACUCCUACGGGAGGCAGCAGUGGGGAAUAUUGCACAAUGGGCGGAAGCCUGAUGCAGCAACGCCGCGUGCGGGAUGACGGCCUUCGGGUUGUAAACCGCUUUCGCCUGUGACGAAGCGUGAGUGACGGUAAUGGGUAAAGAAGCACAGGCUAACUACGU
RNAcentral lists this ribosomal RNA (467 nucleotides) under uncultured bacterium. RNAcentral describes it as "partial 16S ribosomal RNA". It matches the Rfam family "Bacterial small subunit ribosomal RNA", at positions 28 to 506 of the family's 1533-position model. The record is from RNAcentral.